UACGUAGGGGGCAAGCGUUGUCCGGAUUUAUUGGGCGUAAAGGGCUCGUAGGCGGCCAACUAAGUCAGACGUGAAAUCCCUCGGCUUAACCGGGGAACUGCGUCUGAUACUGGAUGGCUUGAGAUUGGGAGAGGGAUGCGGAAUUCCAGGUGUAGCGGUGAAAUGCGUAGAUAUCUGGAGGAACACCGGUGGCGAAGGCGGCAUCCUGGACCAACACUGACGCUGAGUGAGCGAAAGCCAGGGGAGCAAACGGG
RNAcentral lists this ribosomal RNA (254 nucleotides) under uncultured bacterium. Its description in RNAcentral is "partial 16S ribosomal RNA". It matches the Rfam family "Bacterial small subunit ribosomal RNA", at positions 524 to 776 of the family's 1533-position model. The record is from RNAcentral.